UUUUAAGCUUUUCAGAGGAAUUUGCUCUUUAAUGGAUAAAACACCUAAAUCUUACUUGAAUUUGUUAAGUCAAUUUGUAUACCACUAUAAAAACAAUUAAUAACUUUAAUUGUUUAAAUUUAUUAAAUUAAAUUAUGUUAAGUCAAGGUGCAGUAAAAAUUUAAGAAUGAAGUGAAUUACAUUUCUUUUUAGAAAUAAAAAAUUAAACUCACAAAUA
Molecule: ribosomal RNA, 217 nt
Filed under: Rhipicephalus sp.
Lineage: Eukaryota; Metazoa; Arthropoda; Arachnida; Ixodida; Ixodidae
Description: partial small subunit ribosomal RNA
Source: RNAcentral